RNAcentral lists this ribosomal RNA (4166 nucleotides) under Triticum aestivum (bread wheat). RNAcentral's name for it is "partial small subunit ribosomal RNA". Lineage: Eukaryota; Viridiplantae; Streptophyta; Magnoliopsida; Poales; Poaceae. The record is from RNAcentral.
UAAAUAAAUCUAAGAAAACUGCAGCAGUCGUUCGUUUGUGCCAACUGCGUCACCGAGCGCGUCGUGUUCUUCUACUCCGCCGACGGCGCCAGGCUCUUCUUCGAGUGUGACGGCGCCGUGCACGGGGUUAGCGCGCUCGCGAGCCUCCACCUAUGUGCCCCGCUUUGCGACGCCUGUGACGCCGAACGCGCCACUCUCUGCUGCCAAAUCGGCGCCCACCGGGCCAUGCUCUGCGCCGGUCGCCGUGCGCUACUGGACCGCGGCGGUGGAGCCUCCCCCGUGGAUGCUUACACCAGCGGCUACGCGCCCGCCGAGAUCGUCUGCAUCCUCUCCGUCGACGCGCCGUCGUCGCAUGAGGACUUCGAUGUCUGGCUCGCCGACAACCUCCCCCAAAUCCUACACGAGGUUCAGGUAUAACAUCUACUUGGGUAAAUUUCUAAAUUGCACUUCUUUUUUGCAACUGUAUAUGCAAUUGAAGGAGACUCUUCUUGAUGAUCUUGCGUGCCAAAUCUUACAUGGACAGUUUGAUUGUGUGAUCCAGCGACAAAAUUCAUUGAGUAGUGCUGCUAUAUAUCAGUCAAGGGAAUGGUAUAGAGAAGAGAGGAUGAUGAUAAUACAAAGUGGGUGAGAUAGUAUGAGUGAUUAGUGAAGGGGCAUAGGCUUGGUACUACACCAUCGUACAAACAAGGAAGUGGUUAGUGUGCUAUCUUUGAUGUAAAAGAGGAAGAUUUCUUUCCUGACUCAUCUAAUGGUGGAUCGAUGAUUUAAGAAGCAUAUUCAGUUCUUCUCUCAAUUUUUUGGUGCCAAGCUUGAUCUUUAUCCAACUGACUGACUGACUAAAAGUACCUUCUAAUCACUAUUGAACGCAUAUAUUAGUUAGUUUGACUGUAUACACCACAUAAAGAGAAAAAAAUGAAUUCUAAAAAAGUUAGGCAUAGAUACUACAGAACCAGUGGACCCUCAAGAAACAAAAGGCACACCUGAAGGAUUUUUUCUUAAGAAAUGUAUUAAUUUGACUAUUUGAGUAUGCAAAAUGUGCAAUUUCAAUCUUUCCUUUUCAAGGAGAACAGGGGACUGCUACAUACUCAAUAUGGAUGGAGGCUAAUUAUUGAUCUUCCAAGUUAAAAAUCUGAAAAUAACUUCAUUUAGUAAUGGAUAUAUGGUCAAGAAAGGAUGCCUUUCCUUAAAGAUACAGAACAAAAUCAUGUUCGUGUAUGUCCGGCUGACAGAUGAAUCAAUCUCCUUUUAAGUUUCAAACCAGCAACCUUUGUGUACGUACAUGUGUUAUCAAGGAUGCACGGAUCCAUUGGCCUGCGUACCACACAUCCCCUCACUAAUUCUAUCAGUGUCAUUCUUAACAAGGUAAGUAUGAUUGCCUAAUCUCUGAUUUUCUUAAUUGAUCUUUGGUCCUUGAUCCCUAAUGUCGUUCUAUUUUAUUGAUUUUAUAAAUGAUCUCAAACAGGAACAUACCAUUUUUUAGGCUACAGUUCCUAUAACUUGCCUUGUCAAUUUAAUAAAAUUACAUGUGUGAUGGAGGUUGUAACUUAUUACGGUUUACAUUGUCAAAAUUCUUCAAACCCUAUGUCGAUCCUCACUAUUUUUGAAACAAUCUGAUUUCUGUGUCAUUGCUAAACAUAUGUUUGGUGUGCUGGAUUUUCUGAUGUAAGAGGAAGCUAUUCGACAAUCCUGCUCAAGUUGGUAUAGAUUAGAUCGAUUUUAUUCAGUAAAUAUUUAUGCUUGAUAGAUGAAAGCCUCCCUCUUCUGCCCUUCUUUUCUCCAUCCUCUGUAGGUCGCGAGCACAUGUGAAUCGUUGUCGUCAAGAGCAUGCUUGUGACAUCAUUACUAUACGUGAUGCAUCGCAAAAGGACGUUGUCAGGAGUUAAGUGUUCAAGCGCAAUCUCUAGCCAAGUUCCCUUUGUUGUUGUGUUGAAUUUUGGGGAAAGGCGGCCAAGCAGCUCGUGGCAUCUGUGUCGCGCCUGCUCCGCCGCUACCUUGACUCGCCGACAACGUCGCCCGUUGGGCUGCAGGGGUGCAAGACGACCAUGGGGCCCAUUGCAUGGGUGCUGAGUAUGCUUGAUUUCCAUGUCGGAGACGAAGGCCCUAGAGCUUGGUGGCUUGUGUGUGAUGUUUUUUUCCUCCCAUUGCAACACAUCGAUUGAUUUAUUCAUGCAUCCAUCGAUUUACUCUGAAUUGUUUUCAGUCGUCAAACAUUAACUGGAUUGACUCGUGGAUAUGCAUUGUGACAAGUCGUGUGAGAUGAAGGUGGUGAACCAUCUCAAUAUGAAGCCAAGUAUGGUGGAUUUGCCAUGGAUGAUGGUAGACCGGUAAGGUUUAAAUUUUGAAUUGUCAAGUUUUGUGUCACCGAGCUUCUGGACGGUCAAACCUAUAAAGUUCAGUUAAGAUUCAGACUACAUAUGGAUUCCUUUUUGUUGCCGACAAUGCUAUAAUCACGCUAACUAUGUGCAUGGAGUGUACUAGAGAUGAUGCAAAAAUUGCUUGCAGAUAGGCGGCUGGGUGCAUGAAUAAUUGUCAAGGUGGCCGAAGCUAGCGCUAUUUUUGUUGGACUGAAGGAAUUGUAUAAGGUAUUUCGAGGCUCCCUGGUGGUGGAGAUCGACUACACAGUGGGGAAAUGAGCUAGGGGUUGAUUUUGUAAGCAGAUCAUUGUCCUACCCAAUUAUUGUUGAUAUUAAAUCUGCCGAAGCUCCCAGAGACCUUAUGGUUGCGGAUGGUGUCGCGGACCAAUUACAUGCUCUGCUCUGGAAGGAAAAUGAUGCAGCCUUGACGUCGGCCUAAGUCUUGAUGUAAUCCUCAAAAGAGAUAUUGCUUGCAGAUUGGUUAUAUAGAAACAUGCAUGUUAUAGGUCUGUUAAUUUUAGUUUUGGAAUACUAAGAUCUGUUCAGAUGCUUUCCUUACUCUUAGGGCUAAAAAAUUCACAAGAUAGUGACUGAAAUACGUUGGUUUUACUCAACUUGCUGCUACUUGAUUAGUACUCAAUCAAGAUUUUUUUUUUGAGAAAAGUACUCAAUCAAGAUGAGGGUGACCAUGAUAACUGGUGUUGAGUAUAGGUACAUGGACUGAAUUUUCCAUUGUGCCAAAACUAACACAUCAGAAUCUUUCAAUUUGCUGCUACCAUAUUUCAAAGUAAGAACACGAUGAUGCACAGGAAUCUUAUUAUGUAGGCAUAUGUAAUCUCAGUUUUUUACUCUGUAUAAACUAUGAUAGGAGUAGGCCCACAUAAAUGUGUAUCCAGUUUUGCCUUCUAUUGAUCUAUGACAAAGGGGAUGUGCUGGACUAACUGGCCAUUCCUAUUGAAACAAAGAAGUGGAACUGACAAUUUUUCAAACAAUAGAGGUUGUCUUUCAUAUGGAUUUUAUUAUUAGAUACUUGCAGAUGUGUUUCGCUUCCUUAGAUCAUGUUUGAUUCUUAAAUAUUUAGAUGUUUCAUGUAACCAUCAAUUAUGCAACUGGCAGUCCCUGUACAUUCUUUUUUAUCUGCUCUAAAAAUAUAUAUUUCGGUUUAUAAGCAUCAUACAUUUUAGUCUAUAAGUAAGAUUAUAAGUUGAUCCAGUGUCAUACACAAUUCAGUUGAACAUGUUUGUUCUACCGGUUUUAGGCAACAAUUCACGUGCAUACAUUCACGUGCAUACGAAGUUUGAUUCCAUGUGAAGUCAAUGAUUGAUUUUUUAUUGAAUUCUUUAGGUUUAAUUGGUGAAGCUACAUUCAGCAAAGAAGAUAUGUUUAUUUGUGGGUAUUAAUUUUCGCAGGGAAUAUCCAUCCAUCCAUGCACAAGACUGACAAUAUCAUUCUUUAACAAUGUGCACUUGCCUCUACUCUGUCGUGCGUAGAGAUAAGGCUGGGACAUCUAUUGUUUUUUGUACAAUCUUACACUGUAAAAUAAUUUUUGGUACCAAACAUGUUAACAAGGGCGCAAGUUUUUUCAUACAUAAUUUCAGAAGUACUCCAUGUAAACGGGCGUUUGGUACCAAACAUGUUAACCAACAAAAGGCCGGCCACACAGGGCAUUGGCCCAGUAGGCCAACGCGGCCAGGCUCGCACACACGCAUACUAGCAAGGUGCGGCCGUGGCCUGGUCGCGGCGUGCGGGAGGUAGCGAGGGGCGGAAGCGGGCGUGGCAGCAACGGGGCCAGCGCCGGAGCGGCAGGCGGCU